AAAAAACAUAAACAUGAGAAAUAUGUACAUAUGUGUCAAAGUAAGCUGCCAAACAAAACGAUAAUUGGCAGAGUUUGGUGAAAUUUUGAGGUAAAGUACCCGCAAAGAAACACAUAUUUGCAAUCAAAAGCAAAAAGCAAUCAGUGUGCCUAGUAUUGCUGGAAGAUUGGUGGCCAAAUGUAGUUUCCUCAGCUUCAAUGUGUACAUAUUUAAAGGCUUUUGGCAGGGUUACGUGAUAGCGAAAUUCGUGGCAUCUUUAUUUAAUGUAACCACAAACGCUGGAGACGUACAUAUGUAUGUGCAUGUUACCGGAAGAACCUUUGCGGGUAUACAAAACAAGGGGCAGUGUCUACUGUGUAAACAAAAAGAGCACCAUCUGGCCAAGACAACAUUAUCGCGCUUGUCUACUGAAUUUUUCUGAUCACCUAGUCGACUUUUGUCUUAUUACCAAAACUGGAGACUUUGCUAAAGCGCCAUAAGCUAAUGUACUGCUUAUUCAAAUGUGCUAAGUACUCCAAAUUUUAAAUCCUUUUAAAUAUAAGUUGCUUGUGCUUAUAAGUUGUAAAUGCCACUAAAUCAGAUUGUAAAUAAAAUUGCUUACUCGGCCUUGUAUAUUAAUUAUAGAACCGAAAUACAUUUUUGCAGCGGCCAUGCCCUUUGUUGUUA
Long non-coding RNA from Rhagoletis pomonella (apple maggot), 666 nucleotides. RefSeq lists it as uncharacterized. Lineage: Eukaryota; Metazoa; Arthropoda; Insecta; Diptera; Tephritidae. The record is from RefSeq and is a predicted model, not a curated record. The transcript has 3 exons.